UGGGGAAUAUUGCGCAAUGGGCGAAAGCCUGACGCAGCAACGCCGUGUGAGGGAUGAAGGCUUUCGGGUCGUAAACCUCUGUCGGAAGGGAAGAACGGGUGAGGGUCUAAUAGGCCUUCAUUUUGACGGUACCUUUAGAGGAAGCACCGGCUAACUCCGUGCCAGCAGCCGCGGUAAUACGGAGGGUGCAAGCGUUAUUCGGAAUUACUGGGCGUAAAGCGCACGUAGGCCGCUUUGUAAGUCAGGGGUGAAAUCCCACGGCUCAACCGUGGAACUGCCCUUGAAACUGCGAAGCUUGAAUCCUGGAGAGGGUGGCGGAAUUCCUGGUGUAGGAGUGAAAUCCGUAGAUAUCAGGAGGAACACCGGUGGCGAAGGCGGCCACCUGGACAGGCAUUGACGCUGAGGUGCGAAAGUGUGGGGAGCAAACAG
RNAcentral lists this ribosomal RNA (429 nucleotides) under uncultured bacterium. RNAcentral's name for it is "bacterial SSU rRNA". It matches the Rfam family "Bacterial small subunit ribosomal RNA", at positions 355 to 775 of the family's 1533-position model. The record is from RNAcentral.